UGCCAGCAGCCGCGGUAAUACGUAGGUGACAAGCGUUGUCCGGAAUUAUUGGGCGUAAAGGGAAGCGCAGGCGGUUGGAAUAGUCUGAUGUGAAAGCCCACGGCUUAACCGUGGAAGGUCAUUGGAAACUGUCCAACUCGAAUGCAGAAGAGGAAAGUGGAAUUCCAUGUGUAGCGGUGAAAUGCGUAGAUAUGUGGAGGAACACCAGUGGCGAAAGCGACUUUCUAGUCUGUAAUUGACGCUGAGGCUCGAAAGUGUGGGUAGCAAACAGGAUUAGAUA
RNAcentral lists this ribosomal RNA (280 nucleotides) under uncultured bacterium. RNAcentral's name for it is "partial 16S ribosomal RNA". It matches the Rfam family "Bacterial small subunit ribosomal RNA", at positions 506 to 784 of the family's 1533-position model. The record is from RNAcentral.